Molecule: long non-coding RNA, 569 nt
Organism: Hordeum vulgare subsp. vulgare (domesticated barley)
Lineage: Eukaryota; Viridiplantae; Streptophyta; Magnoliopsida; Poales; Poaceae
Exons: 4
Source: RefSeq, a predicted model, not a curated record
UGUACACCGCUUUUGUAGAGUGGAAGAAAACAUUUCCUUUCUUCUUCGCCUUUGAAGGGAAUUGAAAGAAAUCGAGGCAGCCAGUCCAUGGGUGAUUCUACCCCAAAUCUGAGUGCCCUGCCCGUCCAUGGAGCGAUGUUGUACCAAAUUGCUAGCGGAAAAAGAAACUGAUGCUGCCGCCCCAAAUUUGAGUGCCCUCCCGUACAUGGGGAGAUGUUGUACCAAAUUUUUUUGCCGAGGGCAGGACAUGCGCUGCGGAUCAGGUCUUGCCCACCAGCGAGGCCGUCCAUUGGCGCUCGGACAUAUAGCUUUGUGAUUUGGUUGAGGGGCCAUCUUCUGUGUGUUGUUCCUGUCGUCUUAGGCUGUAGACGUACUGACAGUACGAAUGGCCAUUUUGAGUCACUUGGUGACAUGAUGAUUCGAGUAGCAUUACCGGCAAACCCACCUUCAGUGUUAACUUAUGGUCUGGGAUUCCUGGGGAUGUCAAGGUGUUGAGGAACUCAGUAGGCUGCAUGUUCAUCAUGAUGUUGGUGUUUGUCGUGGCCUUGCACACUGUGUCCAGGCUUAGG